Long non-coding RNA from Perca flavescens (yellow perch), 1209 nucleotides. RefSeq lists it as uncharacterized. Lineage: Eukaryota; Metazoa; Chordata; Actinopteri; Perciformes; Percidae. The record is from RefSeq and is a predicted model, not a curated record. The transcript has 4 exons.
CGAUAUUUAAAGAAACCACGGUUGGAGGACGUAACAAGUGAGGAUUUGGCUAACUAACGUUAGCUAGCUAGCUUAAAGCUAACACAGCAGCAGAGGGAACUGUCCAACCGAACUGUCUGAUUUGACAGCCACCGUCACGCCCGCUACAACUCGGCUUUACCGCCAGCAUAUCAGUGUCACAUACCUAAUUAUCUGUUCUGGAUUACAUUAACGUCAUAUCUCCCUUUUCAACUCCACACACCACCGCGCCUGCACCUUGAUACAUGCUGGCAACGUCUCCACCACAAGCCACCCAUGUCUUUGGCUCCUGACACAAGUCUGUCAUCGUGGACAUCCAGGCAGUUGACGGUGCCAGUGUGACCGUACAGCAUCAUCAAACACUUGGCAUUCUUCAAACUCCAACAUCUACAGGUGUGAUGAAACAACAACAACAACAAAAAACACCCACCCUAUCAAAUCUGCGUCAGUCACAAGGAGGAAUUUAUCCUCAUCAGUAUCCAGCUCCCAUCUCCCCCUCACCUGAUACUCGCAUCGCUGCUCGCCGUUAUCAGCAGGUCUCUGUCCUCGCAUAGCAGCACUGCCCGGAUGCCGCCAACAUGGCCCUUCAUCACUAACACGACUUUUGUUUCCGACUCCACAUAAAGCAGACGCACCACGCGGUCCUUGGAGCCCAUCGCCAUAAACGAUCCACCUCUGUAGUCCAUUACCCGCUGUGGGUCCACUCUGUCGAACCGAACAACAACCUAAUUACAUCAGUAAUGUUUUUAUUCCAAUGUGCGGAAUAAAAAAGGAUGAAUAUCCCCCGUUUCAUCAUCCUUGACGGGUACCGGGACUUCAACGAUGUUGGCAUCAACUGGUAGGCAGCCUAUGAAGUCUAGGUACCGGCUGACUCCAGACACGGACUUUGAGGAUCCAGGCACCACCAUAAGAGCGGGGUCAUCAUCGCUGACCCGAUAAUGCCGACUGGUCCUGCGACUACUCGCUGGAAAGGAGCAAAAGUUUAUCAUAAGGCAAGAAGUAUUAAUAAUCGAAACUAGCAAUGCAAAGUUUGUGUGUCUCAAAGCAAACAUCUUUUAUUAAAUAAAGCUCUAAAAGAAGUACACAUCAACAUUUCACACUGUAUAUAGCCAACCAAUCUGUAUUUUUUUCAAGUUCCUGGAUAUUAAAAACGUAUUUAAUUUUUCCAAUGUUGAACCAGAAUGUUUAAUG